UACAGAGGGUGCAAACGUUGCUCGGAAUUAUUGGGCGUAAAGCGCGUGUAGGCGGCUUGUUAAGUCGGUUGUGAAAACCCAUGGCUCAACCAUGGAAGGGCGUCCGAAACUGGCAAGCUAGAGUCCUGACGAGGAUGGCGGAAUUCCCAGUGUAGAGGUGAAAUUCGUAGAUAUUGGGAGGAACACCGGUGGCGAAGGCGGCCAUCUGGGAAGGCACUGACGCUGAGACGCGAAAGCGUGGGGAGCAAACAGG
Molecule: ribosomal RNA, 253 nt
Filed under: uncultured bacterium
Lineage: Bacteria
Description: partial 16S ribosomal RNA
Rfam family: Bacterial small subunit ribosomal RNA
Source: RNAcentral